CGGUGGAUGAUGUUGGUUUAAUUCGAUGACAACGACGAAAACCUUACCCACCUUUGACAUGGCAGGAAUCCUGAAGAGAUUUAGGAGUGCUCGAAAGAGAACCUGCACACAGGUGCUGCAUGGCUGUCGUCAGCUCGUGUCGUGGGAUGUUGGGUUAAGUCCCGCAACGAGCGCAACCCUUGCCAUUAGUUGCUACGAAAGGGCACUCUAAUGGGACUGCCGGUGACAAACCGGAGGAAGGUGGGGAUGACGUCAAGUCCUCAUGGCCCUUAUAGGUGGGGCUACACACGUCAUACAAUGGCCGGUACAGAGGGUAGCCAACCCGCGAGGGGGAGCCAAUCCCACAAAGCCGGUCGUAGUCCGGAUCGCAGUCUGCAACUCGACUGCGUGAAGUCGGAAUCGCUAGUAAUCGCGGAUCAGCAUGUCGCGGUGAAUACGUUCCCGGGUCUU
This 450-nucleotide ribosomal RNA is filed under the name uncultured Allobrachymonas sp. RNAcentral's name for it is "bacterial SSU rRNA". It matches the Rfam family "Bacterial small subunit ribosomal RNA", at positions 930 to 1382 of the family's 1533-position model. Lineage: Bacteria; Pseudomonadati; Pseudomonadota; Betaproteobacteria; Burkholderiales; Comamonadaceae. The record is from RNAcentral.